UCCGAAGCGCCCCACCCCCACCUUAAGAGGAGCCGGAGAGGUCCUCUCAUGCCCUGCUCAUGAAAGAGCUUGCUUUCACCAGCUCUGUGCUCACCAUUCAUCCUUUCUGCCGGCGGGCUUGAGGAUAUGGAUAUCCAGAGGUGACGCUGGGGGCUGCACCUCGGGGAUGGCAUCUUAAUGACUUGACUUGGCGGGUGUUAGAACAGCCCCAUUCAGAGAGUAGCUCGGAGAGGAGGAAGGAGAAGUCCCGGGAUGCUGCGCGGUGCCGGCGGAGCAAGGAGACGGAGGUGUUCUAUGAGCUGGCCCAUGAGCUGCCUCUGCCCCACAGUGUGAGCUCCCAUCUGGACAAGGCCUCCAUCAUGCGACUGGCAAUCAGCUUCCUGCGAACACACAAGCUCCUCUCCUCAGUUUGCUCUGAAAACGAGUCCGAAGCCGAAGCUGACCAGCAGAUGGACAACUUGUACCUGAAAGCCUUGGAGGGUUUCAUUGCCGUGGUGACCCAAGAUGGCGACAUGAUCUUUCUGUCAGAAAACAUCAGCAAGUUCAUGGGA
Molecule: small RNA, 551 nt
Filed under: Pan troglodytes (chimpanzee)
Lineage: Eukaryota; Metazoa; Chordata; Mammalia; Primates; Hominidae
Description: processed transcript
Source: RNAcentral